AGUGAACGCUGGCGGUAGGCCUAACACAUGCAAGUCGAACGGCAGCACAGUAAGAGCUUGCUCUUACGGGUGGCGAGUGGCGGACGGGUGAGGAAUACAUCGGAAUCUACUUUUUCGUGGGGGAUAAUGUAGGGAAACUUACGCUAAUACCGCAUACGACCUACGGGUGAAAGCAGGGGAUCUUCGGACCUUGCGCGAUUGAAUGAGCCGAUGUCGGAUUAGCUAGUUGGCGGGGUAAAGGCCCACCAAGGCGACGAUCCGUAGCUGGUCUGAGAGGAUGAUCAGCCACACUGGAACUGAGACACGGUCCAGCCUCCUACGGGAGGCAGCAGUGGGGAAUAUUGGACAAUGGGCGCAAGCCUGAUCCAGCCAUACCGCGUGGGUGAAGAAGGCCUUCGGGUUGUAAAGCCCUUUUGUUGGGAAAGAAAAGCAGCAGGUUAAUACCCCGCUGUUCUGACGGUACCCAAAGAAUAAGCACCGGCUAACUUCGUG
Molecule: ribosomal RNA, 492 nt
Filed under: uncultured bacterium
Lineage: Bacteria
Description: partial 16S ribosomal RNA
Rfam family: Bacterial small subunit ribosomal RNA
Source: RNAcentral